CCUACGGGUGGCAGCAGUAGGGAAUCUUCCACAAUGGACGAAAGCCUGAUGGAGCAACGCCGCGUGGGUGAAGAAGGUCUUCGGAUCGUAAAACCCUGUUUUUAGAGAAGAAAGUGCGUGAGAGUAACUGUUCACGUUUCGACGGUAUCUAACCAGAAAGCCACGGCUAACUACGUGCCAGCAGCCGAGGUAAUACGUAGGUGGCAAGCGUUAUCCGGAUUUAUUGGGCGUAAAGGGAACGCAGGCGGUCUUUUAAGUCUGAUGUGAAAGCCUUCGGCUUAACCGGAGUAGUGCAUUGGAAACUGGGAGACUUGAGUGCAGAAGAGGAGAGUGGAACUCGAUGUGUAGCGGUGAAAUGCGUAGAUAUAUGGAAGAACACCAGUGGCGAAAGCGGCUCUCUGGACUGUAACUGACGCUGAGGUUCGAAAGCGUGGGUAGCAAACAGGAUUAGAUACCCGAGUAGUC
Molecule: ribosomal RNA, 465 nt
Filed under: uncultured bacterium
Lineage: Bacteria
Description: partial 16S ribosomal RNA
Rfam family: Bacterial small subunit ribosomal RNA
Source: RNAcentral